Canis lupus familiaris (dog) is the source of this 5161-nucleotide long non-coding RNA. RefSeq lists it as uncharacterized. NCBI's taxonomy places the organism in Eukaryota, Metazoa, Chordata, Mammalia, Carnivora, Canidae. The record is from RefSeq and is a predicted model, not a curated record. The transcript is spliced from 2 exons.
UAGAUGCCACUUUUUCUGAGAGCACUCUUCCUCUCUGCCCUCAUCUUCUUAGUCUACUUGAUGAAUUGUGCUUCUUAGGUUACCUGUGUCCUUAUGUGUUUAUGGAAGCAAAAUACAUAAUGACAUUUCAGGUGUCUGGGGACAGAUUGUAAUGUGACCUCCAUGUGUGCAGAAGACUAAAUUUGGUAGAAAAUCCAGCUCUCUUCAUAUGACUUAACGUGCUGCUGCUUCCCCUCUUUGUCUUCCGUGAGCCAUUGUUCAGGUACUUUGAGGUAGACGUCAUCUACUCCCUUGAGGAGAUUCCUGACCAGUUAUCCCAGAUUAGUGAUAGAUUCUUCUAGAGCAACAAGAGUCUGCUUUGAAAGGCCUUCAGGUACCAGAGUGAAUACUAACCUAGAAUGUAGAAUAUCUUUCUGAAUAUGAAGACUGUCAUCCUGUUGAGAAUAUUAGGAACAGUCUCUCUCUCUCUCUUUUUCUCUAUAUGGUUCUCUUUUCUAUCAUUAAAAAAAAUGUCUUGUUUUUUUUAGGGGAGGUGCCGAUUGUGUGUGUGUGUGUGUGUGUGUGUGUGUGUGUGUGAGAUUCAUAAUCGGAAGUGUUGGUUUGAAAACGAGCUGUUCCAUUUUUCACCCACCUUACUAAACCGUAUGUUAAGAGAAAUAAAAGUGAAUCAUUUUGAAUUAAUGCUUUGAAAAAAAAACUCCAGAUAAUCAGUGUUCAAGUGUUGAUUAAUAUACAGUAAAUCAUGAUUUUUCUAUAAGGGUAUCAAGGCAUUACUAAUGAAUUAGUUUUUCUGGCUAACAGUAGAUUAACCAGAAAUCUUUUCUGUCUUUCUCGUUUUGAAUUUUUUUUUUUAUUAAUGUGCUAGUCCCCUUUCCUACCCUAGAAAGAACAUUGGGAAUGUAAUUGAAUCUUUCUUUGAGGUUUGAGGAUCUUACAGUGCCACAGGGUCACUGUUCUGAGGAUGAAUUCUGAUUGUACAUUAUAGAACUGUGAAUGGAGACAGUGCCAGAGAUUGGACUAAAUCUGCCCUGAUCCCAGCUUGGAAAUUGUUUUCUUUUUCUGUUAAAUCCUCGAUGUCAGUAUGUUUUGUUAGUUGCCUUCCUUGGCCUCUGACUUGCAAGGAGCAAGGCAGACAUUCACUUUAAUUAGUUGACUAGUUACUUGAGGUUUGUACUUUCUAGGAAAAUUUCAACCUGAAUCGAGAACCUUAAUUUUUUCCCUGCAGUUAUGGUGGAUGUAAAAUCACUCUCAGAUGUUUAGGAAGGCUGUUUUAUUUACAAAGAAGUUAUGUAAGGUAUUACCGUAGCAUUAUAUAACUUCUCCCCCUACUUGUAAUAAUGGCAAAUAGAAAUAUCGGCUAAUUUUGCCUCUUCCUUAGAUAUGUUGAGAGGGUAUCACAAAUCCUAAAAACUAACACAUUCUAGGGUUUGAGGGAAGACUUUCAAGAAUAUCAAUAAAGAACGUUUAAAUUCCCCCAAAGGAAAUUCUCCUUUCAAGUUUGGGCCUUUGUUCCCUGGGCCAGUGUGGGAAGCAUGCCCAGGAGGGCACCAUCAGAGGCUGACUUUCUCAGGGCCCUCCCACUUGACUUAAUGAUAGUCUGUGGUUAUCUUCUGGCAUCUUUGAUGUCACAGCAUUGCAAAUUCAUCUUAGGAGUCGUGGCGUUCUUUUGUGACAGCCCAGUUAUUAUUAUUAUGAUUAUUUUGUUUUUGGAGUAAGGACAUCAAGGAGAUUAUCUAGAGAAGUCCAUAGGAGAGGGGAACGGGGCGUGAUGAGGAAUAAAUGUGCCACAUCUUGUGGCUCGCUUUUUGCUCCCCCUUUAAAUGCCAAUGUGACAAAGGAGUCACAGGUACCAAUUCCCAUGUGUUGAUAGAAGAACGGUCUCUUGUUGUUUUUUCCUAACAGACGUUUAUGACCUCCAUUGACAGGUCAUUAUUACAGACUGUCCUAGCACCUUCUGUGCUAUGGCACAUUGACAGUGGCGUGGCCCUGUGGUUUCCUGGUGAUUGUCUCGUCCACAGAAGUGAGGCCCUGGUGGCCAGCUGCAGGGCCCUCUGCAGUGUCCACCACCAGUCGAGAGUACAGGUCUCCCACGCCCUGAAAGGUGCCAGAGGACUGCAGGCUGUGCCAGGAAGUUUCUGUACCAGCACUGUUUGCCCCAAAGCUCAAUCGGAGGCUGGAACUGAGUAGGAACCCUUAUGGCAUAGAGGAUUUAUAGUCUCCCAGCCUCGAGUCAUCUCUAGCAACAUUAUUGGGCAUUUGAGUUUUGAUUAUGAACUAUCUUAAAGUUGCUUUUUUUUUUUUUUUUUUUUUAAAUAAUCAGGAAGUUCCUCCAUCCAUGAACAAACCGUAAUAGAUGAAACUCUUCUGGGGUGCAAGGAAGGGUGCCACUUAGUACAGGAUCCUCAAGCCUGUGAAAGAGGCAGCGCACUGUUAAAAAUACCUAGCUUACUUCGGGGGAGGAUUUGGCUGAAUGCUGAUGAAGUUUAUGAAAUAUGAAUGUAGUGAAGUUGCUGUACGUAAGUGGUAGGCGUGUGUGAAAGAAGUAAGAAGAAAUAAAAUUGUGUAUAAAUGACACUCUGAAACUUGAUGGAAUUGUAUACGUGACAGGAAUGGUGACGUUUGGGUCUGUGCUUAAUGGGGGAAAAUAAACUGGCUUAAAGUCUAUAUGUCAAACUAGAUGGGGGGCUAAAAAUUAUAGAAGAUAAAAUUAUUGGACUUAUUUUAUGAGCAAAGGAUGCUACCAAGGAUAAAUAGGCAGAUUGCAAGUGGUAGAGGUGAAGCAGAAUAGGGGGAAAAAAAUGAGGAAUCAACACUUGAAUUUAUAACGAGCUAUGGUAAUCACUGUUUUAAAUAAUCCCAACCAUUAACUACUGUGCUGCUAGACAGAGAAUUAGUUAUAGCCAAACAAAAGGCAUAAAUAUGAAUUUUAGGUUGUGUGGGAGAAAUCCUCUUGAUCCCCAAAGCAUAAAUGCAUGUACUGAGAAGCAAAGCUACACACGAUGUAAUUUUUUCUGUCUUAUCCCAAUUAAUUGACAGCCAACUGUAUGCCUCUUUCCUGAAGGUGACUUUACAAUCUCCAGACACAGACAUUUCUCUCAGAAGUGGAGUGAAGGAAGGAGAACCACAAGCUAAAGGCAAUGAAAAGAGGAAAAGUUGACACUUUGAGAAGUUAUGACGAACUUGUCGAGAAUGCCAAUUGACAAAGGCAGGUAAGGGAAUACUUGGAAAAACAGAACAAGAACAGGUCUGAAGGGCAUGCUGAUCUGCUUCCUAGCGUGUUAAGGGAAUUGGCGGGCAUGUUUAUUGACUCUUCCAAUUAGUUUUAAAGAAACCUGAAGAAAUGGACAAAGACGGAGAAAAGACAACCAGAUGUGAUUCUGCUCUUCCAGAAGCAGAGAGGCUUUUCUCAUCCCAUAUGAUCGAUGCCAGUCCUGGGGAAGACUCACUGUAUAGCAGUUAAUGGAUUUUCAACAUACCAAUCACAGAAGAAACAAGGGUAUAUUUAGCAAGUCUAAAAACUCUUCAAUAAACUGCAUUGCUUUUCAUUUUCACUGUACAGUCAUAAAGCCAGGGGAUGGUAAGAAGGCCAUGGUAAUGAUACAGCGUGUACUCCCAGGAACGUUUGUAUGAUGGGGAUAUUACGUCUGAAAGGACAGGGCAUCUGGGAGGAUGAACUGCCCAUAACUCUCAAUUGUCCAGGUAAUGAAGCAUUGGAAAGCAAACGCAAAUGAAAUACUUUGAUAAUCAAAAAUGAUUCUUCUUUUAGUGAUCAUAUUAGUUGACUGAUGGUGACAGGUAUGAAAUUGCGAGUUGCGUGUAGCCAUUUCUGGCACUCGUGGUCCACUUCUGAUGAGCAUGUUGAUGUGGAAAGUGGGAACCCGGACGGUUUCUAUAGACCGGGCUGUGAACCCAGAAGAUGUAAAAUUUGACAGCGUGAAGGACAAAGGUUGAAGAUUAGUGAGCCCUAAAAUUUCUUGAGGCCUUACAGAGAAUCAGUUGGAGAACUGACGCUACACUGAGAAGCUCUAGCAAGUCCUAAAGCUCAUUUUUCUCACCUCGAGCUUGAGGGUGUGUGCUAGGUGUGUGCUAGGUGUGUGGUGCUCACUCACCAUGCUGGUGCCGGUGCUGUUUUAUUAGCCCAAGGCCUGUUAGACGCAGAAGCGGCCUUCUAAAUCAUAUAGCCUGGCCCUUCUCCUUUAAACUGACACUCACAGAGAUCUAAUAAUGUGUCUGAGUUCCCAUUCCUAGUAAGUGGCAAGACUGUGACAAGAGUAUGGGUCAUCUACUUUGUAGAAGCGUUCCAGUGUUCCUUGCCUUUGUGUGCUGUGCCGAGAUACUCGGAAAUUCCAGCAGGUACAGAAUCAAUUUCCUGAACCCCCUCUCCCCGUCCUGCCAGGUAACCCCCCUGAGGAUAUUAUGAUGCAUACACAAGUUAAUCCAGCAUGAGGUAGCUGACAUCUCUGAAACUCAAUGCAUGUGACGUUGGUUGUGCGUCAGUAAUGGAGCAUUAUCAGUAAUUGUUAUGUUUUCAUAUCCCACUGGGCAUUUUGAAUAUUAUAUGAAAAUUAGCCCAUGAACACCAGUCAUGGCCAUGUCAGUAAAAGCAUUCUGAAGCAUAGUGAAAAUAGUGCCUGUAUCUUAUGCACUGCUGAUUGCGUAGAAAGUAAAAUAGAGGCUCUGGAAGGGACCGUCUUGUCAUCGGUGCCAGCCUGAGCGGUUAUGCUCGCUAGAGCUGGAUGCAGCCAGAGGGUGGAAUGGAGAGGCUGGCUCUCAGCAACUGCCCUUUUUCGUCAAGGCAGAGGAAAGGCUGUGUCUUUUAUAAGAGAUGCUCAAGAGGAAGUGCACCCGUGGAAUACUAUAAUAGCUAGUAAAAAUCCUAUUCCAGUAGAAAAGUAUCUCUUGAUAGGGGAAAAUGUUUGUCAUCUAUUAGUGAAAAGUAAUAACCUUCAUAGCAGUGUGCCCAGAAUGACAUCAUUUUUGUAAAAAACUAUAGUGUGUGUAUUAAUAUGGACCCACGUACACCUUAAUAAUGAAAUGAUAAAAUGGUUAUUUUUAGUGUGAGUUUUUUUUGUGCCCUUCUGUAUUUUUGACUUUCCUGCAUUAUACAUGUAUUACUUUUGUAACUAGAAAAAAAUAAAUCUUAUUUUUUUUCUAAAAGAAA